RNAcentral lists this ribosomal RNA (256 nucleotides) under uncultured bacterium. RNAcentral's name for it is "partial 16S ribosomal RNA". It matches the Rfam family "Bacterial small subunit ribosomal RNA", at positions 524 to 776 of the family's 1533-position model. The record is from RNAcentral.
GACAUAGGUGGCGAACGUUAUCCGGAAUUAUUGGGCGUAAAGGGUGCGUAGAUGGUUGGAUAAGUUAGCGGUGGGAAAUCGAGGCUCAACCUCGUGGAAGCUGGUAAUACUGUCCGACUAGAAGGUCGAAGAGGUUAACGGAACUCCCGGUGGAGCGGUAAAAUGCACAGAUAUCGGGAAGAACACCAAUAACGGCGAAGGCAGUUAACUAUUCGGCUCUUGACAUUGAGGCACGAAAGCGUGGGGAGCAAAACGG